UCCCGGUACCUGGGCGGGCCCUGGGAUCCCCGGGAUGCUCAGGAAAGAAUGACAGCCCUCCUCUGUGUGGAGUCUCUCACCGGACCUGGAACUCAGGGAUCCUAGACAGGUCAGCUGGAAGGGAAGGCACGCCUCUCCAUACCGAGUCAGAGGUUCACCGCGAAAGAGAGGGCGCCAUCCUGCCCCCACCCCGCCCCAACCCCGCUCCAACCUGCUCCUCCAGCAGAGCCCGGUGUUCUUCCUGGCUGAGGAGUGGUUCCAGCAGAGCGGGCUCUUCCACGUCCUUCAGCUCCCCCAGUGGCGCCGGAUCUAGGAAAGGUCGUGCCUUUUGCUGAAACUCUGGUGUCUACAGGAGCUCAUAUAACAGGCUGGAGUUUUCAGGCAGAAACCACCCCGAAGGGUGGAGUGUGGAACUGAGCUUCCGUGACGGUCUUGAGUUUUCCAGGCCCUCUGUGGGUGUCGCCGUUGCCGUGAUAGUUCACACACGCAGGGGUGUGGAUCUCGUUCGUUUUCAUGUAGAAAACGAGAGCGAAACUGCAGAGAAAAGAAACGUCGGGUGCAUCACGGCCUGACCACGGAUUCCUGUUUCCUGCAACAAGGGGAGUCUCCACUGUGGCCGGUCUGGAAACCGGAAAGGAGAGCGAAGUCACGAUGCUGCUUUUCCACGCUUCGCUGGAGGUUUCUGUGUCCCCGCAGAGCUCGGGAAACAGCCAACGUGGUCGCGCUUUCGGGGGCGGGAGACACGCGAGCAACAGGUCCCCUUGCAGAGGGCGAAGGAGCGUGGAACCCGGAAUCACGGUUCACUCGGCCCGAGUGUGACUCCCGUGUGGACGGGCCUGUCCGCCUCGCGCUCUGUUGCUCAACGCGGGGCCGUGUCGUCUGUGAACCACGUGGAUGGAAAACGGACAAUCACCCGCGUCUCGGCUCAUUGCUCUCAUUCCUUGGGAGGCGGAAUUCGUCCGAAUUGCUCCGGGAUGAAGUGACCCGGGCCGGCGAUCCGGAGGGCUGGUGAGCUGGUGGGCGCCCCGCAAGCAGACGCGGCUGUGGGCCGAGCUCUCGGCCUGCACCGGGCACCCCACGUUUUCCCGGAGUGCGAGGUCCCGCUGGCCCUGGAGGCGGAAGACCGCUUUCCUCUCUGCUUUC
Molecule: long non-coding RNA, 1143 nt
Filed under: Homo sapiens (human)
Lineage: Eukaryota; Metazoa; Chordata; Mammalia; Primates; Hominidae
Description: non-protein coding lnc-FRG1-5:7
Source: RNAcentral